GGGGAUGUAGCUCAGUGGUUAAGUGCCUCUGGGUUCAAUCCUUGGUACCAAAAAAAAAAAAAAAAAAAAAAGAUCCAAAAGUAUGUGGGUUCAAACCCCUGGUCCCCA
This 108-nucleotide transfer RNA is filed under the name Marmota monax (woodchuck). Its description in RNAcentral is "tRNA.SeC". The record is from RNAcentral. Lineage: Eukaryota; Metazoa; Chordata; Mammalia; Rodentia; Sciuridae.